Molecule: ribosomal RNA, 467 nt
Filed under: uncultured bacterium
Lineage: Bacteria
Description: partial 16S ribosomal RNA
Rfam family: Bacterial small subunit ribosomal RNA
Source: RNAcentral
GCCGAACGCUGGCGGCGUGCUUAACACAUGCCAGUCGAACGGAAAGGCCCUGCUUUUGUGGGGUGCUCGAGUGGCGAACGGGUGAGUAACACGUGAGUAACCUGCCCUUGACUUUGGGAUAACUUCAGGAAACUGGGGCUAAUACCGGAUAGGAGCUCCUGCUGCAUGGUGGGGGUUGGAAAGUUUCGGCGGUUGGGGAUGGACUCGCGGCUUAUCAGCUUGUUGGUGGGGUAGUGGCUUACCAAGGCUUUGACGGGUAGCCGGCCUGAGAGGGUGACCGGCCACAUUGGGACUGAGAUACGGCCCAGACUCCUACGGGAGGCAGCAGUGGGGAAUAUUGCACAAUGGGCGGAAGCCUGAUGCAGCAACGCCGCGUGCGGGAUGACGGCCUUCGGGUUGUAAACCGCUUUCGCCUGUGACGAAGCGUGAGUGACGGUAAUGGGUAAAGAAGCACCGGCUAACUACGU